UUACCUAACUUACCUAUAAAAGGCGCCCUCUUAUUAAUUUCUCUAUCCUCAAUCUCACAUAACACGCUUAUUUUGUCCCCUCUUGUUUCUCUCAUCCGAAAAUCGAAAGGAACGCAAACCUUUUUCCUCCUUCAUCCGAAAAAUCGACCGAGCAACGAAGCCAAAUUUGAAGCCUAAAUGACACGAAUCAGUAAUACCAAAGAGAAGCCCUGAUCGGUCUCCCCCUUCCCUCAUCCGAUUCUCUCUAAUGUGCUUCCAAAACAAGCCCUAAUCCUGGUAUGUCUCCAAUUUUUAAACUUUUGUGUGGAAUCAAUUCUUUUUGGGGUAUUCUAGUUUCUAAAAAAUAUAAAACUAUAACCAUCAUGUGUGGAAUCCUGUGUGUUCUCUCUCAUUUUCAGACAAAACAAACCCCUUUCCCUAAUCCGAUUCGGUCGAAAGGAACGAAGCUGUGUUCGAUUUCUUCCCCUGCUACUGACCCGAAUCAGUUCAAGCAACCCUAGAUAAGCUUUUAAGGUGCGAUUUCUUUUUUCAUUUCGGACACUAAAACUUUGAUUUAUUAAGGUUUGGGUUAUAGGUUUUCAUUUUAAUUUCUACAUAAUUCGAGUUUUAGUCACUAUUUGUUGUAUAUUUAAUAAAGAAAUUUAUUUGUUGUGAUUGAAUGUUUUUGCUUAGCUAUUGAAAAUUGAAGAUGAGUGGUGAUUAGAGUUUUGGACUAAGUUUUUUAGCUGGUGGGUUCGUCAAAUGAGGGUAUUUGAAGCUAUGGGUUUCAGUUGUUUUGGUGCAUUUGAUUCCUGUAUACAUAUUAACAUGUUUAAGAAAUAUUUGGGCUUCCCUUUUUUGGGAAAAGUUGGUUGUUUCAAAAUGUUUAGUUUAGGUUUUUGUGUUGAGAAGUUGAAGGAUAUUUUUGGGUUAAUUUGACUGAAGGAUUGAUAUUUUUGAAUUGUGUGAACUUUAAAUUGAUUAGGGUUGAUUGUUGCGUGAUUACAAAUUAGUGGGCUAUUAAAGAUUCAAGUGAUUACUACUUGUUUGUUAUUCUAGAUUUGAAGCCAAUGCAAAUAUAAAGUGUACUCUUACCAUUUUUGAGAUGGGGUUGUGUAAAAUAUUUGAAUGUGAGUGAAGAUCAUCGGUUUUAGGCUUUUAGCUAUAAAUUUGGUUUAUAGCUUGUGAAAAGAUUUUGGGUUUUUAGCAAACUUUUUUGUGGGAAUGAGGUACUCAUUCGGGAUCAUUAGUGGGUUUUGUUCCGUUUGAGUGAUUUCAAUUUAAAAAAGUGAAAUCUUUAUAAUUUUGUCAUCCACUUAAUAAAUUUCAUUUCCUUGCUUGGGUUUUAAUGCAGACUGGUAUGAUUUCUCCAAGUAAAUUGAGGAUGAAGCUUAUAGGACAUCAGAGGGAAAAAGAUGGAUCAAAUAGUAACUCAGGUAGAACUUCUCCUUCCAAGCUUGAGGAUACUGAGUUUGUAAGGAACAACUUGUUAGCCUCCAAUGGUGAAGAUUUUUAUGAGAAAGAUUAACGGAAUGGAGCAAGAGAUGGAGAAAAUGCGUGCAAUAGGCAAAAUGCGAAGAAACAAAUUUAUUACUGCACUUAUUUGUUCUUGGUUAUUGAUUUUAAUCAUGUUAUUGUAGAUGUACUAAAUAUUGUAAUAUUGUGUUGAAUAUUGUCAUGUUCAUUAAGGAUCUGUAAGAAUCUAUAAAUAUUGUUCAUACUGUAAAAUGUGUUGAAUAUUGUCAUGUUCCUUUAAGGAUUGUUCAUUCAGUUUGUUGUUGUAUUUUGUUAACAUGUAAUAUAACAAUGGCCAGAGUAAUAUAGCUAGACCUGCAAAUUGUAUACAUACUGUUUCCAAGAAAGGACCUUUUAUUUUAUACAGUCUUGAAAUAAACAAGGUCCUUUAUGUGACUAAGUGCUAAAAAUAAACACUUAGGGAAAGAAAAUAAACAAGGUCUUUUAUACAGUCUUGAUUUGCGAAUAAGUGGGUAGCACUUGGGGUGAGAAAAUAUCAACACUGAUUUACAAUCUUUAAAGAAUCAACCUUUUUUGUUUAGAAUGAUUUGGGGAUUAAUUUAUACUUGUAAUUUUCUCUAUACGGCACACUACCAUAUAAUACUACUAUUUUUUUGGAAUGCUAUGAUACUUUCAUGCCAAUGAC
This 2140-nucleotide long non-coding RNA is filed under the name Panax ginseng (ginseng). RNAcentral describes it as "long non-coding RNA (PGIN_LNC004449)". The record is from RNAcentral. Lineage: Eukaryota; Viridiplantae; Streptophyta; Magnoliopsida; Apiales; Araliaceae.